UUAUUUCAGUAACAAAAUGUCUGGCUUCAGGUUUAGCAACAGGGCCAUUUCUCGACAGCUAAUCAAUACGACUGUUCCACCCCCUCCUCUCCUAAUUAUGUAAUUAUCCACAGAGCUCUUCCAAGAACCACUGGGCUAAGCCCUUUUCUCCCCACAUUUUGCUGGUAGAAUUCUAUUCCCCAAAGACUUCUCUUGCUCCCUAAAUUUUAAUUUAUUAACUGUUUCACCUUAAAGCAAUCACCUUUGCAGUCAAUUCCCCAAAUAAAACAUCUGCCUUUUCAAUUCAGACAGCUAUAAGUGAAGAAAUACACCAGGGGAGCAGAAUUAUGUUCUCUUUUCGAAAGUAGAGAUGUUUACAAAGACAGGCUUCUGACACCAGCUGCCUGGUCUGCAUCACCAAUGAGCUGGCACGGGGCUGCCAGAGAAGGUGAGCACCAUUAGCCCCAUUCCUCCUGCUCACCUGGAAGGGGCAGCAGCAGCUCCUGCUCGUUAAUCCUCCAUCCUGUAUUAAUUGACCUUUUACAGGGGCUACUUGAGACCUGCAAGCUCUGAGGUCAUUAGUUCUCAAAGUGCUCUCUGUUUUUCUGUAGCAUCUAUUUGCAUGGCAUUUGUGGUUUUAACAUGCUUUAAAAUCAUUUCUCUCCUGAGGCCUUAUGGUGCUAUUUUGCUUUUCUGUUAAGCCAUCAGAAGGGGAUGAUACCGAUGCUAACUUUCCUCCAAGCUUGUUCUAAGUACAGACGUCUGGGGGCAAAAGGGUGAAGUGAGCAUAGGAAAACCAAGCCCAGCUGACUUUUGGGGAACAGAAAAACAUCAUUCUGAAGAGUGGUACCACAUCCAAGUGUUUAUAGAUAUGAGCAUAGACAUGGAUGAGAAAUGGACACGAUAUUAACUUCACUUCAGCGAGGCCUGGCCUGCACCUUGUCAACUGCAGGUUUUUGGACAUCAGUGGCAUAAAAACACGAUGUGACCCAGGGCAGCCUCGGGAUGAAAAAAAAAGAAAGAAAACAAGAAAGACCAAGAUUUCAUACCAAAAUAAAUUUUUUAAGGGAGGCACGAAGCAUUAUUUUUAUUAGAGUUUAGGAAAGCGAAGCACAGAUGCUGUGUUCUGUUAACGCUUCAGUCGGGUUUUCCGCAGGUGCCGCCUCAUGUAGCGGCGUCUGGAGCCUUGGCCGUGACUUACACGCCCUGUCCUCUUUACCAGGGAAGCUCAGAGUCUUGAGAUCUUUCAUGAAUUUCCCCUGAGGGAGAAAGCGACUAGUUAUGCAGAAUAAAUUAAACAGCCUGGGAAAUAAAAAAAAGUCUGUCCCCAUUGUGAAGAUUCUAUUUAGUGAGGCAAAUUUGAUUUCAGAAGAUACAUAGAGGUGAGAAGUCGGAGGUUAACGCUCCUCCGAGUAAGACUCCUUCAACACUCCAAAGGGCUUAAUUACUGACUGGGAUGGUAGAAACAAUAGGAAAAGAGCUGCUAUCUAAUGCCUUAGCUCCUGAACUCUAUGUUUUAGAGUCAUUUCAAAUAUUUAGGGUCCUGGUAGACCACAUCAUCCCAGAUAGAAAAGAUUAGCAAGUAUCUGGAGACAAAAAAGUCAAUCGUAAGAGUUCUCAUUGGCAGUGGCAAGCACUAUUCUGUUCUUUUAAUUAUAUCACGUGUGUUCCCAUUUCAUCCUCCCAAAUGACACUUUGAGGGGAUGGGCUAACCCCUGUUGUCAAGAUUAGGAAACUGAGGACUAUGCUCUUUAAGGAGCUUGCCUGAGAUCACCAGAGCAAUAAAUGGAAGAGGCUUGAAACUAUUUGAACUCUGAAUCUUUUGCCCUACCUGCUACAAAAUAAUAUCAUCACCAUAAAACACUGAAAAAGAAAAGAUCUCUUUAUGGCCUCUUGCAGUAUUUCUCUACUAUACAGAGAAGUGCAAUAAAAUGUCAGUUUUAUCCUUUUUUACUGACUGCAUUUUCCUUACUGACAUACACAGGUCAGGUGGAACUGAAAAAUACAUUAAGAUAUAAUGACAUCAUCCAGCCGCUGACACAGGAUUCCUUUGAUAUUGGAGAUGAUUUCCGAGAUGUCUAUUUAAAUCCCCGAAUGUGGGGACUUGGCCUUGUUCACGUUGCAUUCUUGACUUAAUCAUAAACCAACAGGAAAGUCAUAGGUUCUUUCCAAACUGUAGGCGGGAUAGCAAUUCACUUGACCGUCUAUAAAUGCUGGAUAUACAAUAUUCAACUUUUCAAUGAAAUACCAACUUGGAAUGAAUGCUAAUUUGAGGGAAAAAAUCCUAGAAUAUAUAUUUUUAAGUGUGGCAACAUUUAUAAUUCAAAUUCAGAGUGUUCUCUCUCAGCAACUUGAGCUCCUUGGUGGGCACCAGUGGAGAGAAUAGACUCAAGUGGUCACCCAAUCAGCCUUUGCUUACAAAGCUCAAGGAGGCAAAGAAUGAUAAAGAGUGAUGCAAAGAACCUUGUCUGGAAGUUUCUCAGAGGUCAACACUGGGACAGCAUGGAUUCUGGGGAGAAACUAUGGCAACAAACUCAAAACCCAGAAUGCAGC
Molecule: long non-coding RNA, 2532 nt
Organism: Equus caballus (horse)
Lineage: Eukaryota; Metazoa; Chordata; Mammalia; Perissodactyla; Equidae
Source: Ensembl